This 1346-nucleotide ribosomal RNA is filed under the name metagenome. RNAcentral's name for it is "bacterial LSU rRNA". It matches the Rfam family "Bacterial large subunit ribosomal RNA", at positions 1564 to 2925 of the family's 2925-position model. The record is from RNAcentral.
UGAGUACGAGCGGCUACGGCCGCGAAGUGGAUGAUGUCAAGCUUCCAAGAAAAGCCCUAUACCCGUUAAGGCAUGAUGGCCUGUACCCGAAACCGACACAGGUGGGGUGGUAGAGAAUACCGAGGGGCGCGAGGUAACUCUCUCUAAGGAACUCGGCAAAAUGGCCCCGUAACUUCGGGAGAAGGGGUGCCACCGCGAGGUGGUCGCAGUGAAGAGGCCCAGGCGACUGUUUACCAAAAACACAGGUCUCCGCUAAGUCGCAAGACGAUGUAUGGGGGCUGACGCCUGCCCAGUGCCGGAAGGUUAAGGAAGCUGGUCAGCGCAAGCGAAGCUGGCGACUGAAGCCCCGGUGAACGGCGGCCGUAACAAUAACGGUCCUAAGGUAGCGAAAUUCCUUGUCGGGUAUGUUCCGACCCGCACGAAAGGCGUAACGAUCUGGGCGCUGUCUCGGAGAGAGGCUCGGCGAAAUAGAAUUGUCUGUGAAGAUGCGGACUACGUGCACCCGGACAGAAAGACCCUAUGAAGCUUUACUGUAGCUUGGUAUUGUGCUCGGGCUCGGAAUGCGCAGGAUAGGUGGGAGGCUUUGAUCCAUUGCUUGCGGGUGAUGGUGAGCCACUGGUGAGAUACCACUCUUUCCGAGCUAGAGUUCUAACAGCAACCCGUUAUCCGGGUGCUGGACAGUAUCAGGUGGGCAGUUUGACUGGGGCGGUCGCCUCCUAAAAGGUAACGGAGGCGCGCAAAGGUCUGCUCAGGCUGGUUGGAAAUCAGCCGACCAGUGUAAAAGCAGAAGCAGGCUUGACUGUGAGACCUACAAGUCGAACAGGGAGGAAACUCGGCUUUAGUGAUCCGACGGUUCUGCGUGGAAGGGCCGUCGCUCAACGGAUAAAAGUUACUCUAAGGAUAACAGGCUGAUCUCCCCCAAGAGUUCACAUCGACGGGGAGGUUUGGCACCUCGAUGUCGGCUCAUCGCAACCUGGGGCUGAAGUCGGUCCCAAGGGUUGGGCUGUUCGCCCAUUAAAGCGGUACGCGAGCUGGGUUCAGAACGUCGUGAGACAGUUCGGUCCAUAUCCGGUGCACGCGCAGGAAUAUUGAGAGGAUUUCUCCCUAGUACGAGAGGACCGGGAGGAACGCACCUCUGGUGUGCCAGUUAUCGUGCCAACGGUAAACGCUGGGUAGCCAUGUGCGGAGUGGAUAACCGCUGAAAGCAUCUAAGUGGGAAGCCCACCUCAAGAUGAGUAUUCCCAUGGCAUAAGCCAGUAAGGUCACGGGAAGAACACCCGUUGAUAGGCUCUACGUGGAAGCGCAGUAAUGUGUGAAGCGGAGGAGUACUAAUAGACCGAGGGCUU